RNAcentral lists this ribosomal RNA (253 nucleotides) under uncultured bacterium. Its description in RNAcentral is "partial 16S ribosomal RNA". It matches the Rfam family "Bacterial small subunit ribosomal RNA", at positions 524 to 776 of the family's 1533-position model. The record is from RNAcentral.
UACGUAGGGUGCGAGCGUUGUCCGGAAUUAUUGGGCGUAAAGAGCUCGUAGGCGGUCUGUCGCGUCGGCUGUGAAAACCCGGAGCUCAACUCCGGGCCUGCAGUCGAUACGGGCAGACUGGAGUUCGGCAGGGGAGACUGGAAUUCCUGGUGUAGCGGUGAAAUGCGCAGAUAUCAGGAGGAACACCGAUGGCGAAGGCAGGUCUCUGGGCCAUAACUGACGCUGAGAAGCGAAAGCAUGGGGAGCGAACAGG